This is a long non-coding RNA of Herpailurus yagouaroundi (jaguarundi), 1913 nucleotides long. RefSeq lists it as uncharacterized. The transcript is spliced from 4 exons. NCBI's taxonomy places the organism in Eukaryota, Metazoa, Chordata, Mammalia, Carnivora, Felidae. The record is from RefSeq and is a predicted model, not a curated record.
AUCAGCAAAGUGCAGGUGGAGAAGAUAGAUGUGAAAGGAAUUGGGGGAAGACUGUAUGUACAGUCCUGGGAGUAAAAUUCCAGGUUAGUUUGCCAACCAGGUUAUUUAUUAUAAGAGAUUAAAGAGAGCACUGUACCCAUCAGGUCCUGAGUUCUUGGUCUACAAGCUGGCCGUCAAGCUGUGGGAGCUGGAAAGAAGUCCAGCAAUGCUGGCGAACACUUAGUCCAGGUUUCUAGUACAGUGCCUUGAAAAGAUGCACAGAGAAGACUGAAAUGGGCAGCGGAGGAGGAGACUAAAGGAAAGACAGAGUCAAACUCUGCAUGAAAUUUCUGCUAUCAUUGAUGGAGAUGACUUGAGAUUAUUAUUUUUGGACUACACCCAAGUUUUUACAUCGGAACAAAAUAAAGAGCCUCAAGGGUGAUAGGAAGAGCUAUUAAGUCAACCCCCAUGUAAAGGCAGCCAUAUUCUCAAUAAGGAUUUCCCAACCUUGCCCCGUUUACACUUGGAACCAGUUCCUCCAGCCCUUGCUUGUAACCCGGAUUCCACCUCUGAUAGAGAUUUGGAGACUGCUGCUGUUGUCCAAGGCACCGGUUUCCUUCCUGAAUCAUUGACUUGUGGUGUCUUCGGGCUCCAACCAGAUGCAGAAGCCUGCACAACUGCCCCACCUGCUCCCACAACUGCCUACCAGCCAAUCCUGACAAUAAUUCCCAUUCUCUGUUUCUCACAGUGGUUCUGUUGCUCUGACUGAACCCUGACAGAUACUCUGUGCUUGUGCGGUUUACAUUCUGGAUAGACAGUAAACGGCUUAAUAAGUAAAUUCUAAAGUGCGCUUAAGAGUGACAGGUGCUAUGGAAAGAAAGAAAAUCAGAGAAGGGAAAGAGUAAGGGUAAUCUAGGGUGCCAUGGGGCUGGAGGUGGGGAGGCAGGUGCCCUGUUAAAUAAGGUGUCCCGAUGGGCCUAAUUGAGAAGGUAAGAUCUGAACAAAGCCUUGAACGAGGUGAGGGGUAGCCAAAGGAAAAUCUUUGAGAGCAGAAGAACAUAGAAUCCUCUCCCUAAGACAGGGGAGUGCCUAAAACAUUCCAGUGGCUUCAAGGAGCCAAUGUGACUGGAAAGGAGAGAGCCAAGAGGUGGACAGGAAGAUAUCAGGCCGAAACUGCAUCAAGGGGUGUGAUUUAUACAGCAGGGGUUGGCAAAUACCGGCCUAUGGACAAACCUAGCCCCUCUGCUUGUUUUUGUACAAGUCUUAUUGGCACACAGCCACGCUUACUCAUUUACACAUCAUCUAUGGGUGCUUUCUGGCUAACAUGGCCAGAGUUGAGUAGCUGUGACAGAGACCAUAUGGCCUACACAGUCUGAAGUAUUUACUAAAAAAAUUUGUUGACCCCUGGUGUAGAGGCUCGGAGUGUUUUGCCUUUACUAUGAACAAAAUGCAAGCCAUCUCAGGUUUUGGGCAGAGGAGGGCCACACUCUAGUUUAUCUUAGACAUGAAUCACCCAUACUGCUGUGUUGAGAGCAGACUCUGGGGGGCAAGGGUGCCAGGUUAGAAGCAGGGAGACCCAUUAGGAAGCUAUCAUGGCAUCCAAGCCAGAGAGGAUGCUGGCUCGGGCCAGAGUGGCAGCGGGGGAUGUGGUCGGAUUCUGAUUAUCUUUUGAAGCUUGAGCCAAACUGACAGAGUGGAUCUGGGUGUGGGAAAAUAAAGGAGUCAACAGUGUACAACUACAACCCAUCUUAAGUGCUAGUAUAAAAGGUUUCCUCAGAGGUGCCUCAGGGACCAGCAGGAGGGGAGCAUUGCCAAUCUCCCCGCCCAACUGGAGCAGGGCUGCUUUGUCUGUUUUGUGUAUUGGGCUGUCUAGUAAUACCACUGUUCUCAACCUUGGCUGCAUGUGAACUCUGGGGAGCUUUACAAGGUACUGA